Plutella xylostella (diamondback moth) is the source of this 1309-nucleotide long non-coding RNA. RefSeq lists it as uncharacterized. The record is from RefSeq and is a predicted model, not a curated record. NCBI's taxonomy places the organism in Eukaryota, Metazoa, Arthropoda, Insecta, Lepidoptera, Plutellidae.
UAGUAGUGCAUCGGGUCGCGAUUAUUUACAAUGUUGAUAAACAUUUUAGUUGAAUUAAAAACGCUUUAAGUUUUUAUUUUUGCAAUGUAUUACAUUAAUUUUGCAAUAUCUAAUAAAGCAAAGAUUGUUGAGUUAAAUAUGUGCUCCAUAUUACCAUGAGUGCUUUAAUUUAAUAACCUAUUGUGAUAUGUAAUAUCUUUUAGUGUUCGUGCUAUAUGGGUGUUUUGUGCAUUUUCUAAUAAAAUAUGUGUUUGUUUUGGUGCCUUACAAACAUAAAAACACCUUCCCUUCAGCUUCGUUCCAGUAAAGGAUAAAGCUGAGGUAUAUUUGCAAGAAAGCUGUGAAGAAGAAGAUAUGAUUUUCAUAGAAAGGAAUGGUGGUGUUGUCUUGCUUCGAAACGGACACCAAUAUACAAAAAUAAGAACGGACAAUAAAACAGGCGCAGAAGUAUGGCGGUGCGUGAAAUGGAGAAAGAAGUGCGGCGCCACAGUAACUCUUAAGGAAGGAUGUGUGCCGUCUGAAACUGCACACAUAUGCCAGCCGGACUACACAGCCAAUUUUAUUGCUAAAACUAAAUACGAAUGUAAGAAAAAGGUGAUGACAUCAGAUUUGGCCUCCGUACCUCAAACCUACAAUAAGUUUAUAGCCGAAAUUAAGGAAACAAAUAUAGAUAUGAUGCAUCAUAUGCCAUCGUUUCGUAGUGUAAAGUCUGCCAUGUAUGCUAUAAGAGGAAAACAAUUCGGUGUCAAAAAGAGAUCAAAAAAGUCAUCUGACGAAUGCAGCAUGGGUGAAACCGAGUAAUUUAACAAAACCAGUCUUUCUCAAACUUUGAUAGUCAUUAUUUAUUAAUAGAUUUAAGGUUGACAAAACCGUCUUAGGAUUUUGUGUCAUUUGUAUGUAGCUAAUCUUAAUCUAUUUAUUGUACUUAAGCGUGAUGGCACACAUAAUUAUAUUAAUUAAAUCAAAUGCCAUAUACAAUAUCGAACAGUAUUAUGUAUGAAACUUUGAAUGAUAUAGCUGUAGACAUAUGAGAUUUGUCAUAGUAGGUGUUUAUUUAUUUAUUAAUAGCUUUUAUGAAAUUCUUUCUAUAGAGUGUAAUAAACGAUACGAAGUUUAUAAUUAUAAAUACAAAUAGGGAUCUUGUCGUAGUUAUUUCUUGUAACAUACUCACUAAUUUAAAGGUAUAAAUUGUAUAUCUAUAUCUGUGAACAUGCCUAUUAGUUUUCUGCAGAAAGCGCAUUUAUUUGUAGCUUUGUUUUUGUCAUUGUUUAAAAUAUAGUGAUCGUAAAUAAAAAAAUGUACCUACUUA